AGUCGAGUGGAUUGAGCUACGCUUCUUUGGAUAAUGGGAGGCAUUGGCGCUUACCAUCACCCUACCACAUGAUGAGGAGGUCUUUUUUCCUGGAGAUUGCAUCGUUUGGAUGAUUGGCCGUUCAUGAGUGGAGGACAGCAACGGUUGCCGGGCCGCCGACAAUGAGAUGCCUGUCUCCAUGGCAACAGCCAGCAGCCACUGUGAGUAGUGAUGUGCAUAUACUUCAAAGUGUUCUACACUUGACGGACCCCAAGAGCACAGACUCAUAAUGUGAGUAACAUCUCCCUGAAUGGACAGUCUGACACAGGAACAGCCACUGCCAAGUAACUACAUUGUAUGUCACUUCCUGAAGUGCCCUCUUGUGGCCUAUUUGAGAAAAUGUCAGGCAAAAUGUGCAAUUUCAAGAUAUUCAUUCAAGUCGAAAGUAAGUACUGCUACAGUUUUAGAGUGCAUGAUGUAACAUAAUAAACAGUCAAUUAUACAGCAUUUUUCAUAAUAAUUUUUGCUGUAACAUUACCAUAACAAAUCUAGCAAGUUUUUCUUGCUCAUAAAUUGUUGACAUUUCAUGUUCUUGCCCUGCGAGCUAUGCAGUUAACAUGGUUAAGUAAGUAACUUUGAACUCAAUGUAUUGUAUAUGAAAGACAAAAAUGGCUUGAAGCUUUUAAUUAUGUCCAAAAAAAUACAUGGUACACAUGUUUGCAUUCUGCAGAUAUUUAUUAAUAAUCGCAAUUUCCUCAUUAAGAGUUCUCUUCGACAAGUAGAAAGUUUCUUGAUGAGAACAGUACUAAAAUGCCAAUAAAGGGAAAUACAUUUGCCCCAAAUGACAUGAAAUCGUGCACGAGAAAUCAAAAACUGAAUUUAUGAAAAAUAUUUAAUAAAUAGUGAAGGUCAAGUGUGUCAGUGUUGUUUUAAAACCAUAAUCUCCUAAUUUUAAAAACCAAUUACAAGAAUGCUGGGUCGAGCAUGCUCCCUGUAUUUUUAUGCAUGCUAAAAGUGUGCAGGGUUAAUUUUAUGGACUUUUUAAAAAUUAAAACAAGUUUGUAACCUAACCACAUUUAAUACACAUGCGUGCUUUAAUUACAAAACCUUAUGAUUGAGUUCUCGAUUGUUAGAAGAGGAAUGGUUUUUCUUCAGCACUGACUGAACCAGUUGUCGAGUCUUGCAAUUCCCAGUGGAUGCCAUGACAUCAGUACUGCACUGAUGUGACAGCACAUUACAAACCGCCAGCAUGAUUUAUUCAUUUUCUCGAUAUCGUUCUUGGCCUACAUGCGGCAGUCUGCCGGCACGGCCUGCCGUCGUUAGUUCUUAUCGUCGUCGAUCCGAAGAGCUGUGACCGGCAGACUACUCAUAAUCGCUGGCGACUGCUCUUUAUGCAUGAACUGACUAUGAUGUCAACCCUACAGGCAGUCAUCAUAAUGAGCCAUCCCUGUCUUUUAUUAUUAGUAGUAUUAAUAUUUUUAAGAAUGACAAAUGACAGAAUGUAGUGCAUGGCAUGGCCAGCGUGCAUGGUAUAAUCAAUGAAAUUUUGUUGGGGCUAUAACAUAGUGGUAUUUUUUUUGCAGUCACAAUCUAAUUGAAAUAAAUAAUGGGCAUUUUCUAUUCUUUAUUAAAUAAUCGUUAGAAGUGUAUUACAUUAUGAUGUUAAGGCCCAUGUUUCCUACUUUUAAAACAUUAAACUGCAUGUUGAUUUAACCAGCAAUUCAGCACAGACCAUGUCUCACAGUCAUGAAUGCGUGCCCAUGUUAUUUCUGUGCUCCAGCUAACCUACUAUUUUUAAGAAACAGAAUUUGAGAAAAUGUAGAGAAUUUUACCAGCCAUUACCAUUUUUUUGCAGACGGAAUAUGCAAAGGUUUGGCAUGUCAGCUUACAUUUGUACAUCUAACACCCUUUGUUUUUUUUGUUUUUUUACCAUGAAGUCGAAAAACCAGGAGCAGAAACUCAAUUCAACAGUUGCAAUGUGUUAGAAUUUACGAUUAUUCAGAAAUAUUGAAAGAUCAAGUGUUUAAUUCAACUUUACUGAGCAGCUCAUCAAUUUCUUUGGUAAAAUAACUUAAAUUGAAAAUGAAGGGGACUGCACCUUGCCAGGAUUUAAUUCCUUCAUGUCAAAUGAUGAAUCUUUUGACUGAAAUUAAAAAAAAAUCGCAUUUUGUUUUUAAUUUACUAUUGAUCACUUUGUUCUAAAGGUAACACGAAUUUCGUCUUUUUUUCACAAAAGGAUCAGACUUUAUUUUGCAGAAAAGCCAAAACCUGAAGUUGUGAUCAAUUUGCACUGUGUGGCACAUCACACAUAUUAUAAACCAAAGAAAUGAAUUCCAUUGAAUUGCCAAUUGGGCGGAGACCCAAUAUUGCUGAGCGGGAAAGAUUUUAGCUUAACCAAAACAGAACAAUACUCAGCCCUGUCAAAACCAGGUUACUGGUUGUGACAGCAUACAGUAUUGAAAGGAAAAUUGGGCCUGAUCUGUCCAUUUUGUUAUCGUUUUAAAUGUUUUCACAAAUUAUCUCUCUCUGAUCAUUUAACAUAGGUUUACUGUUUUUAAAAAUGCUUCAUGUAUUAUUGCAGGGUUUUGAUGAUUUUUGUUUAAAUGUAUUUUUUUGUCCAUUCAUGGUUGAGUUAUGUGUAUGUAUAUUAACCAUUGUACAACUUACUUUGUAUAUAAAGAUCGCAAGUUCUAUGCAAUUAAUCUUGUUACAUAAAUUUAAAAGUUACCGACGUGAAUUCGGUAGCAUGUUUUAGCUGUUGAAUAUUCGUUAAGAACUAUUUUAGCAAUAUACAUGCACAAGCAGUGGAGAGUUUUUGCAUUUUGCUAUCUUUAAGUAUGUAUAAAAAAAUAUCCAACGCGGGUUUUCUUAUUCCGUUGAUUAGUAUUCAUAAGUAAUGAAUAUACAUGUUGUUAUGUUGAUGAAUAUUCAUUGUUAUUCAACAUCUAUGUUUAUCUCCAAGCCGGACGUUAAACAUUAAUGUCAUAGGUAAGAACAAGGUUGCCAAAUAUCUAUGUUAUAACUACAUACAUUAUAAGGAAAAUGAUAGAUAGGCCUUAAAUUCAUAAUUUUAAAAAUGAUAAGAAUUCCCAUAAUUGUAUAAAUUUCUAAGAUUGAAUGUUACCGUAUGCUGCCUGCAACAGACGUAAUUGCUAUGUUAAAGGGUUUUUUUGGCCUGUGUGUACUCAAGGUUUUUAAACCACUUGUAUUUUUUUGGUAGUGAAAAACAAGCAAAAUAUGGAUUUAGUCCUAGCAUUUUUUGUCUGAUUUUCUGAAGCAAGCGAUAGUUUUUGUUUUCUUUUUAAUUUUUUUCGUUAUUUUUUUUUCUUUUAAUCUAGCCUAAAAGUGUACUUGGGGGCAAAUUGUUCAGUACUGCAAAUGGCAUACACUGAAUGUUCAGAAAUUUAAAAGGCUAUUUAAAUUAAAAAGCCAUGCAUGACGACAAAUUACUUGUGACUUUUUUUGUUUUUACCUUUUCCUGAUAUUUUUGUUCAAAAUAUAGAUUUAAAAAUGCUGUUUUAGUCAUUCUGCCCCAUUGAUUUUGUGAAUUUUUUGUAGCGACUUUAAACUGAAAAUAAAAUUGAAGUUCAGUACACAUAUUGGAAUUUUAGUUGUGAAUAAACAUAUUUUACUUCCAACGUCAGUACAUGUAUAAGACGUGCGGCGUGUCAAAUGUUGCGACACACAUUUAUUGAAUAAUCUUCAUAAUCAAUAUCAUGACGUAGAUGACCUGUCUAAGCAAACAUAGACUUGCCGCAAGUGCGGUGCAGGUUCGUGUAGCAAAGAAAACCUGACAUUUUUAACAACUAAAAAAAGACUUCUUGUGUAUUUUGUGUCAAGUCCAGAAAACCCCAUUACAGACUCUUAAUAAAGAUCUAUUCUAUCAUGUUCAGGUUUUAUAAAAUAUAAAAAUAAUUACGAACAAAGGAAAUUGCUGAGUGUGAUCUUUGAAAAAAAAAUGGAAAGCUAAGUCAGUGCAAAUUUGAAAGGUCUUGGAACUUGUCUAAAAUGCAUGAUGUGUCUGUCCGAAAUGCUCCAGUCAAAGCUUGAUAUACAAUUGUGGCAGCAUCAUAUAUGCUAUAAAAAAAGGAGUACAUAUUUUUCUGUAAUAAGCUGUCUUGGUGUGUCACAUUGAAGUUUGCACGCCCCAAAGAAGCCAUUGUAUACAUUUCAAACAUCAUACCGGUAAUUCACUAUCAUCCAAGAUUUGUAGACAUCAAUAUUAUAUACCGGUACAAUAAACAGCCCUUGUUCACCUGAAGAAGUGGAAUUUUCAGCACUUUGAAAACAAAGUAACGGUAUACAUCCAUGUACCGGUAUUAUUAAAAUUCAAUACCAUCUCUCUAUUAACCUAUCGCAGAAGAAUCGCGUCAACGCAGCUUGUGGAAUAUUGUCCAAUGACAUGAUACACAAAUGGACGCGGAACGCGCAAAAUCAGAGACGAGCAUAACUUAACAUGCAAAAUUCCACAGGGUUGUCUAAGGGGCGUGGCUAACUCGCAAACGGCGAUAGGUCAAUCAACCUCUUAUGUACAUGUAUACAAUGGCUAAACUUAAUAUAUCAGGAUAUGUCUUUGUGACAGAUAAAUGUAUAUUAUGACAUCACAGCUUAUUUAAAGUAUCCCAACUGACUGUUGAAAAAAAAAGCUGUAUUGGAAUGUUUGAGCUUCAAAAAAAUAUAUAUCUCUGUAUAAAGAAGUUGAAGUUGAUGUGGUCAUGUUCUAAAGAACUAUUCAAAGAAACUGUGAAUUUAAAUAAAUAUUUCAAAAUACGAGCCUAAUAUCUUCUCUACUUUAUUAUAAAAAAUAAAGGCCUAUACAUUGCCAUACAUUUUACUGGACAAUAACCAUGAACGUAAUUUCCAGAGAUAAAGUAGCGGUAGCUUCCAUUUUACUCUGUAUAAUAUUAAAAAGGAAAAGAAAAUAUCUUAGUGUAAAAUGUUGGAAAUUGGGUAAACUAAUGAUUUAUUUCAAUAGUACUUUUGAUUAUUUCUCAUUUUUGCCCGUGAAUAUCAAGGUCAGAUUUUCUUGUUUUGUAUUCAUAAUUUUUUUUUUAUAAACUAUGGUUUCAGAUGGUUAUAUAUUUGUAUAGUAAUAGUAAUGCUAAUUUUAGAGCAUUGAGUUAUUUCUUUCUGUACAUUUCUGUUCUUUUUUUUUUUUAGGAAUUCUGUAUGGAUUCAAGUUCUGUAUGUAUAAUGUUACAUAGUACUAUUAAUAAGAGCUCCCAAUUAUUUUAAUAGAAGAGUAUAACAUGAAUUAAGUUUUUGAAAUAUAUUCUUGGAAUUGCAUAGAAGUCAAACAUUUUGCCCUCAGUUUCUUUUAGAAGAAAAAAAAAGAAUAGGAAAUAUUUUUUUUGUAUUUGUAACCUGAAAUUUAAGAAGAAAUAAAUAUCCCACAUCUCAAUAACAAAGUUCAUUACUUUGUUUGAUAUUCUGGGUUGUUUUAAAUUUGGAAUUUCUUUAUAUCCAGUUGUGAUUUGUAUUAUUAUUAUUUACUCACCUCUGUUACAUGUACGUCCUUUUUAAUGUUUUUCUUGAACAGUUGAAUAUUUCUGAGUUAUCUAUUCAGUAUUUUUAACAUAGAAAGACUAUCAUAUGUCAUUCAUGUGUGAUAGUUUAUUCUUGUGCAUUUGACAGUUACACUGACAUUUUACAAAUAUUAAUAUAAGCUUCACGACGACUAACAAUUACAGUACGUAUAUAUAUGUGUGUGUGUACGGACUUAUCCAGCCGCCACAAUUGGAAGGCAAAACUGAGGUGGCACCACAUUCACAUGCACACACUCUUGUUUUACUAUACUCCCGAGGACAAUGCUUUGUGUUUUCCUUUUUCCCUGUAAUACAACACUCUCCCAUAGACUAAGCACACAAACCUACACGUACUAUAGAGGACCGUUUUGAACAAAAGACCCAACUCCAGAGGACUGACAGGAUCUCUUGUUCUCCCUUUGUGUGUCUGUUCUGUCUGUUCUCGGGGGUUAUGUAGAAUGAGUACAUAUGUGUACACAUGAACGUGUGGUGCUUAUAGUCUAUGGGAGAGUGUUACAGGGACAAAGGAAAACACAAAGUAUUGUCCUCGGGAGUAUAGUAAAACAAGAGUGCGUGCACUCAUCGGUGCUGCUUAGAGCAAUGCAGAGUGCAAAUUUGCCAAAGUUCAGGCGCAGCUGAAAUAUCAAGAAUGCGUCUGACUCAUGCGUCUGACAUGUGCCACUCAAUAAAGUCUUUUUAUUGUGGUCACGGAUUAGUUAUAUUUUGUUACAAUUAUGGUGUAAAGACUAUUAACUCAGAUGUAUGAAUUAACUCCAGUGUAUCAAUCAACAUAUAUAUCAGCUCCUGUUGUUAACAUUUACUGCUUAUAAACAUGUUCAUGUUGGGCAUACUUAUUUGA
This is a long non-coding RNA of Patiria miniata (bat star), 6363 nucleotides long. RefSeq lists it as uncharacterized. Lineage: Eukaryota; Metazoa; Echinodermata; Asteroidea; Valvatida; Asterinidae. The transcript is spliced from 2 exons. The record is from RefSeq and is a predicted model, not a curated record.